CCUACGGGAGGCAGCAGUGAGGAAUAUUGGUCAAUGGGGGGAACCCUGAUGCAGCGACGCCGCGUGGGUGAAGGAGUGCUUCGGCAUGUAAAGCCCUAUCGGCAGGGAAGAAGCAAGACGGUACCUGACUAAGAAGCCCCGGCUAACUACGUGCCAGCAGCCGCGGUAAUACGUAGGGGGCGAGCGUUAUCCGGAUUCACUGGGUGUAAAGGGAGCGUAGACGGCCAUGCAAGCCAGGGGUGAAAGCCCGGGGCCCAACCCCGGGACUGCCCUUGGAACUGCAUGGCUGGAGGGCGGGAGGGGCAGGCGGAAUUCCUGGUGUAGCGGUGAAAUGCGUAGAUAUCAGGAGGAACACCGGCGGCGAAGGCGGCCUGCUGGACCGCGACUGACGUUGAGGCUCGAAAGCGUGGGGAGCGAACAGGAUUAGAUACCCGUGUAGUC
RNAcentral lists this ribosomal RNA (441 nucleotides) under uncultured bacterium. Its description in RNAcentral is "partial 16S ribosomal RNA". It matches the Rfam family "Bacterial small subunit ribosomal RNA", at positions 338 to 795 of the family's 1533-position model. The record is from RNAcentral.